GCGCGCUUAGCUCAGCGGAACGAGCGCCUGGCCUACAUCCAGGAUGUCGGCGGUUCGAUUCCGUCAGCGCGCACCA
This 76-nucleotide transfer RNA is filed under the name Bradyrhizobium liaoningense. RNAcentral's name for it is "tRNA-Val". It matches the Rfam family "tRNA". Rfam says of the family: Transfer RNA (tRNA) molecules are approximately 80 nucleotides in length. Their secondary structure includes four short double-helical elements and three loops (D, anti-codon, and T loops). The record is from RNAcentral. Lineage: Bacteria; Pseudomonadati; Pseudomonadota; Alphaproteobacteria; Hyphomicrobiales; Nitrobacteraceae. RNAcentral also lists the same sequence under 5 other names.